Molecule: long non-coding RNA, 393 nt
Filed under: Cricetulus griseus (Chinese hamster)
Lineage: Eukaryota; Metazoa; Chordata; Mammalia; Rodentia; Cricetidae
Description: lncRNA (ENSCGRG00015002952.2)
Source: RNAcentral
GGAAGUCAGGGGCGGGGCUUGGGGUAGCGUCACGUCACGCCCCCUCCGACUCCCUCCUCCCGGGCUCCCUGCUCGCUGGCGAGUCCUCACCUGGAGUGACAGGUGUGCACGUCUUCGAACCACGGAGGCUGACCUUCCUGCAUCAGGGACACAGCUACCUGAGUGUUCACCAGCGUCGCUGGGGAGUGGACUUUUGGUGUCAAGAAGGGCAAGGGGACUCACAUACUGGGGCAGGUCCCCACUGACAAGGUGGGUCUGUAGAAGCACAUUGGCCUUUUGUAGUUUUCCUGAAUGUAAACUCAGCUCUCUGAACCUUGACCUUCCAUAUACAGGGUGGGGGGGUACCUUCUACCCAUAAGACUGCUGUGGAAUUAAACCAAACGUAUUAGAAAU